RNAcentral lists this ribosomal RNA (443 nucleotides) under uncultured bacterium. RNAcentral's name for it is "bacterial SSU rRNA". It matches the Rfam family "Bacterial small subunit ribosomal RNA", at positions 28 to 489 of the family's 1533-position model. The record is from RNAcentral.
GACGAACGCUGGCGGCGUGCUUAACACAUGCAAGUCGAGCGGUAAGGCCCUUUCGGGGGUACACGAGCGGCGAACGGGUGAGUAACACGUGGGUGACCUGCCCUCAGCUCUGGGAUAAGCCUGGGAAACCGGGUCUAAUACCGGAUAUGACUCCAUGACGCAUGUUGUGGGGUGGAAAGCCUUGUGCGGCUGAGGAUGGGCCCGCGGCCUAUCAGCUUGUUGGUGGGGNGAUGGCCUACCAAGGCGACGACGGGUAGCCGGCCUGAGAGGGCGACCGGCCACACUGGGACUGAGACACGGCCCAGACUCCUACGGGAAACAGCAGUGGGGAAUAUUGGACAAGUGGGGGCAACCCUGAUCCAGCAAUGCCGCGUGAGUGAUGAAGGCCUUAGGGUUGUAAAGCUCUUUUACCGGGGACGAUGAUGACGGUACCCGGAGAAUAA